GCGGAAGGAUCAUUACCGAGUUUUCGAGCUCCGGCUCGACUCUCCCACCCUUUGUGAACGUACCUCUGUUGCUUUGGCGGCUCCGGCCGCCAAAGGACCUUCAAACUCCAGUCAGUAAACGCAGACGUCUGAUAAACAAGUUAAUAAACUAAAACUUUCAACAACGGAUCUCUUGGUUCUGGCAUCGAUGAAGAACGCAGCGAAAUGCGAUAAGUAAUGUGAAUUGCAGAAUUCAGUGAAUCAUCGAAUCUUUGAACGCACAUUGCGCCCCUUGGUAUUCCGGGGGGCAUGCCUGUUCGAGCGUCAUUACAACCCUCAAGCUCUGCUUGGAAUUGGGCACCGUCCUCACUGCGGACGCGCCUCAAAGACCUCGGCGGUGGCUGUUCAGCCCUCAAGCGUAGUAGAAUACACCUCGCUUUGGAGCGGUUGGCGUCGCCCGCCGGACGAACCUUCUGAACUUUUCUCAAGGUUGACCUCGGAUCAGGUACGUAGCCCCCG
This 498-nucleotide ribosomal RNA is filed under the name Lasiodiplodia theobromae. RNAcentral's name for it is "eukaryotic LSU rRNA". The stretch from base 153 to 306 matches the Rfam family "5.8S ribosomal RNA". Lineage: Eukaryota; Fungi; Ascomycota; Dothideomycetes; Botryosphaeriales; Botryosphaeriaceae. The record is from RNAcentral.